This 482-nucleotide ribosomal RNA is filed under the name uncultured bacterium. RNAcentral's name for it is "partial 16S ribosomal RNA". It matches the Rfam family "Bacterial small subunit ribosomal RNA", at positions 28 to 507 of the family's 1533-position model. The record is from RNAcentral.
GAUGAACGCUCGCGGCAGGCCUAAUACAUGCAAGUCGGACGGGAUUCAGGAGCUUGCUUCUGAUGAGAGUGGCGCACGGGUGCGUAACACGUAUGUAACCUACCUUUAUCAGGGGGAUAGCCUCUCGAAAGAGAGAUUAAGCCCGCAUAAAAUCACAGCACAGCAUUGUGUAAUGAUCAAAUAUUUAUAGGAUAAAGAUGGGCAUGCGGAACAUUAGCUAGAUGGCGGGGUAACGGCCCACCAUGGCGACGAUGUUUAGGGGAUCUGAGAGGAUGGCCCCCCACACUGGUACUGGGACACGGACCAGACUCCUACGGGAGGCAGCAGUAAGGAAUAUUGGUCAAUGGGCGGAAGCCUGAACCAGCCAUGCCGCGUGCAGGAAGACGGCCCUACGGGUUGUAAACUGCUUUUAGACGGGAAUAAACCCAGAUACGUGUAUCUGGCUGAAUGUACUGUAAGAAUAAGGAUCGGCUAACUCCGUG